AGUGAACGCUGGCGGUAGGCCUAACACAUGCCAGUCGAACGGCAGCACAGUAAGAGCUUGCUCUUACGGGUGGCGAGUGGCGGACGGGUGAGGAAUACAUCGGAAUCUACUUUUUCGUGGGGGAUAACGUAGGGAAACUUACGCUAAUACCGCAUACGACCUACGGGUGAAAGCAGGGGAUCUUCGGACCUUGCGCGAUUGAAUGAGCCGAUGUCGGAUUAGCUAGUUGGCGGGGUAAAGGCCCACCAAGGCGACGAUCCGUAGCUGGUCUGAGAGGAUGGUCAGCCACACUAGAACUGGGACACGGUCCAGACUCCUACGGGAGGCAGCAGUGGGGAAUAUUGGACAAUGGGCGCAAGCCUGAUCCAGCCAUACCGCGUGGGUGAAGAAGGCCUUCGGGUUGUAAAGCCCUUUUGUUGGGAAAGAAAAGCAGCAGGUUAAUACCCCGCUGUUCUGACGGUACCCAAAGAAUAAGCACCGGCUAACUUCGUG
This 492-nucleotide ribosomal RNA is filed under the name uncultured bacterium. Its description in RNAcentral is "partial 16S ribosomal RNA". It matches the Rfam family "Bacterial small subunit ribosomal RNA", at positions 29 to 507 of the family's 1533-position model. The record is from RNAcentral.